GACGAACGCUGGCGGCGUGCUUAACACAUGCAAGUCGAACGGAAAGGCCCUGCUUUUGUGGGGUGCUCGAGUGGCGAACGGGUGAGUAACACGUGAGUAACCUGCCCUUGACUUUGGGAUAACUUCAGGAAACUGGGGCUAAUACCGGAUAGGAGCUCCUGCUGCAUGGAGGGGGUUGGAAAGUUUCGGCGGGUGGGGCUGGACGCGCGGCUUAUCAGCUUGUUGGUGGGGUAGGGGCUUGCCAAGGCUUUGACGGGUAGCCGGCCUGGGAGGGUGACCGGCCACAUUGGGACUGCGAUACGGCCCAGACUCCUACGGGAGGCAGCAGUGGGGAAUAUUGCACAAUGGGCGGAAGCCUGAUGCAGCAACGCCGCGGGCGGGAUGACGGCCUUCGGGUUGUAAACCGCUUUCGCCUGUGACGAAGCGUGAGUGACGGUAAUGGGUAAAGAAGCACCGGCUAACUACGUG
RNAcentral lists this ribosomal RNA (468 nucleotides) under uncultured bacterium. RNAcentral describes it as "partial 16S ribosomal RNA". It matches the Rfam family "Bacterial small subunit ribosomal RNA", at positions 28 to 507 of the family's 1533-position model. The record is from RNAcentral.